AUACGGAGGGAGCAAGCGUUAUUCGGAAUCACUGGGCGUAAAGGACGCGUAGGCGGGUUUGUAAGUCAGGUGUGAAAUCCUACAGCUCAACUGUAGAACUGCACUUGAAACUACAGACCUAGAGUAUGGAAGGGGCAGAUGGAAUUAGUGGUGUAGGGGUAAAAUCCUUAGAUAUCACUAGGAAUACCGAAAGCGAAGGCGAUCUGCUGGGACAUUACUGACGCUGAGGCGUGAAAGCGUGGGGAGCAAACAGGAUUAGAAACCCUAGUAGUCC
This 274-nucleotide ribosomal RNA is filed under the name uncultured bacterium. Its description in RNAcentral is "partial 16S ribosomal RNA". It matches the Rfam family "Bacterial small subunit ribosomal RNA", at positions 523 to 796 of the family's 1533-position model. The record is from RNAcentral.